AACCUUCUGCCGACUUUGUCGCUGGCAUAUAUGCCUCUUCUCGUCCAUCAGUUCUUCAUUUUUUUACCUGCUUCAAUAAUUUUCUUCUUUUCCUUUUCUAUUUUAUUUUGUUUCCUUAAUUACUUUUCCUAUUAAGGCCCUACGAAAAUAUUGAUUCACCAUAGCUCUGUACUCUUCUGCCCAUUUCGACAUUUUCAUGUUCGAACUUAUCACUCGAAUGUGGAUAGUUUUUGGAGGUAGGCACUUCAUUUGUUAUUGAUUGGAUUAAAUCUUGGAAGUUCAAUUGCGGAUUUUUCUCUAAUGAUUUUCAGAUUUUGUCAAGAAAUUACUCUUCAAAAUUCAUUGAUUAGUAAGUAAUUCAGUUCAUUCUGUUAAAAUAAUCACAUACAGCUCUUCUUUUCCUAUUUCAAUACUCAAAUCUCUCCCCAAUCCCUGAAUUCCUGGUUGACAGAAUUUUCGUGUUUAAAGUUCUGAAUCUUCCUUUAUUCGACAUGCGGUUUUGUGAUUCCUUACAUUCUAAUACCAGGCCCUAAGGUUAAUUGCCUACUAUAAAUAUUGACUAGUUCUCUGCACUAGGGAGAGGUUUUUCAGUCACUGCUACUAUAGCAUUCUAUAUUCUCUUUUCUUUAUUGCUGCGAGCAAAACAAAGCUUGGCACUUCAUACUUGUUCGACAUAAAUACUACUGAACAUUCUUGAGGUUCUGGUGAUUUUGGGGUGUCUGUCUUUUCUUGUUGCUAUUGUUCGAGUCUCUUGCGCAUAUUACUGCACAAUGUGGAGAAUAUUUGGUUCAAUUACUGUUGUCCAAGCUUGGAAUUCCAGGUUUUUCAUAUUCUAUUACUGAUAUUGGUUAGUUUCCUGAACGACGCAUUAUGAUUCCUUUACGUGUUGUUUGUUGUUAGAAUAGACUAGUCCUUCUCUUUAGUUUUGUAUUCUGUAAAACUCUUGGCCAUGCAGAGAUGCUGAGUGCCAUGCGGCACUCUAUUGAAAUUAUGCCAGUAUAAAGCCAGGUAUGUCUCUUAAACCUCAGUAUGUGCUUAAUUCUAUUUGUAUGUUCUGGUUUUUUUAUGCGAUAGAUAACUUGUAUGUAGGAUUAUUAUCUGUUUGAUCCGUUUGGACUUGUUUAGAAUAUUUUGUCGAAUAGAUACUACGAUUUAGGCUUAACCAAAAAAGUAAUACAGAUUUUGUUUAGACUUUUAACUUGCACUGAUGUUUUCCAUCAUUUAGACACCGUAUCCUUAUUACUAAAAAAGGUAACGUGAUGCUUCUUAAAUAAAGUCUGCCUAAGGGAUGCAUGGUAGUUCUCUGUUGUUUAAUCUUAUUCUUAGAAUUUGUUCACAUACUCAUCAUGUCAUAGGAUUUUAACCGCCAUGUACCACAUUUACGAAUGAGGUGAUUAACUUCAUGUUUAAUAGGAUGACUCAUAGCCUUGUCUAGCAUCUUCCUGUCUACUAUAGAUCUCUACUAUCUCAACAUGCUCCGUUGUAUAACUAAGCUUAGGUAUCACGUCUUUAAGAUUAACAAGCGUGUCUCAGUGUAAGUAGUAACUGACUAUGCUUUGUUUGGUUUGUUUGAGUAAGAUGAAUCUCCAUUGAAAUCUUGUUAUUUAGUUCACUCAAUCUGCCUUGUAAUAGGCUUGUAGUGACACUGAUACAAUUAUAAAAGGAGUAUUUACUAGGUAUGGGAGGACUAUGUGAUUAUUUGCUACGUGUUUAGGAAUACAGUGUUUGCCUACUCGAUUUGACUACUUGCUUAUUUAGUUUUAAUUCUUUUAUUUCGAUCAUAGUAUGCUAAUAGGUAAAAUCAGUUUUUCUUUCCCUCUUCUGUGUGUUUGAAUAGUUAAUUAUGAGUAGUGAUAAAGGCUCUUAAAAUAAGCUAGGUCUUUUAUAGUAUAGUACCUAAGUCCAUAAAUGGUUAACAUUCAUCUUUUAUCAGUUCAAACAGCUUCGGUCUAAUUUAUUUGUUUAUUUUUGUCUCUUCCAGAAAAUAAGUAUUUUCUAACAUAUUUCUGAGGUCUUACUUUACAAAAGAAUUUGAGUAUUUUGACAACAAAACUGAGAUUAUAACUUUGGUUCUAAUUCAAAAAUCAUUUUGAAAUUUGCCCUUUCUUUUGGCGUAUUCUUCCAAAUGGACACGUCACUUCAAGGAUUGAGCUCAAUAAUCAUUCCAUUUAAUUAUUUUGGGCCGCUUAGUGUUCACUGAGUUUUGGAAUAAAUUUGCUUUCUAACUCUUCAUAUCUAAUUAUUUAGAACAUUAUUUUUGGAGUUAUUUAUCAAUUUUACUAAAUUAGUAGAGUUAUCAUAUUAUGUGAGUCAUGUAAUAAAUCUGACUUUGUUGUUAUCACUUAGAUACCAUGCUUUAGAAUUAUGAGUUCAAUUCCGACCCUAACCUUUUUUAAGUCAUGCUAUUUGUGUGCAUUGUCUGCGGAGGUAUAUGUGAGCCUCUUAAUUGUUUAUAUGUUUCCCCCUAAUAUGCAGUCCUACAUGUUUUGUAUGUUGCCUUAGCCAUUUUACCUUUAAAACCCGAGAGUCAGCCUAAAUUCCUCCCUCUUAUAGGAAUAGUAGUUCUAAAUUACUCUGGGACUGAUAGGAAUGGGACAGGUAAUAGCAUGUAAUAGAGUUCGAGACUGAUCCACGCUUUAAUACCUUAAGGGGGUGAAAAGGGUAGAUAUGGAUAUGAUGACCGAUGCGCUAAUACCUCGUGUAUCCCCUCUUCUUUGUUUCUUUCCUUUACUACUGCUUUAAAUUAUGAAACUACUGUAUUUACUACUUUCUUAACAUACAAAUACAUGCCAACAUGCUUUUAAUUAUUGCAUAAUCAUGCUAAAUAUCAUAUUCCACUCAUGCCCAAACAAAUACCAUAACAAUACUUAUAAUGAGUGGUUGCACUCUUCCUAUAUUAUUACCCCCUAAAUCCGGAAAAGGCAUAUUUGCGGUAAAACCAGGCAAUCAAUAGUGUAGUCGACGAUUCCGUGCCUUUCCCCGUUGAGUUGUCCGCUCAAGGGCACCAGCCUAAAACCCCAUUUAAACCUCACUCUGUUUAAAAUGUGCAUGCAUCAUAGUCAAACCUAGCCGAGUCAGUUAUGUUGAACGCAUAAAUGACUCUUUAAGAUAGCCUUGUCCAAAGUCCACUAGGCUUCUCUAAACCCAAAUGGACAUCCUCACGUUCUGUGCAUUUAUUUGGAGAACUAAAUGUUUCAUGCUAAUUGUUGAUGUUAAAUAGUCGAGUCUGGUGGGGGUAGGGUCUUAACCCGUUUGUUUUGCAGAAAAUGAAGAACGAGGUCCCUAACUUUUGUAUGGUUAGCAUACCCUCACUCUUGCUAGACUGGUGGAGGAGUUGUCCAUCAAAUGACCAAAUCAAUGAGUGUAAAGAGAGGGUCACCAAAGCUAGCGAAAAUUUAGAAUAUCUGGAAUACAGUCUGCGGGAAUUGGAAGGAAAAGCGAGGAAAAGAGUCACCGACUGCCAGAACGCUGAGGGAAACGAAGGAGAACACCUGGCAAAGGCAUGAUUACUGGUGAACCUACGCGAACUGGAGGAUCUGAUCAACGAGAGCAUUCAACCUGUGGAAGGUCCUUCUGGGACCAAGUAGAUAGGAGUUCAUCUUUUUCACUUUAUAAAUGUAAUAAGGCCAAUAGCCAUUAGUGACUUUUAUUUCUUGCUUAUUUAGUGUCG
Molecule: long non-coding RNA, 3670 nt
Filed under: Nicotiana tabacum (common tobacco)
Lineage: Eukaryota; Viridiplantae; Streptophyta; Magnoliopsida; Solanales; Solanaceae
Description: long non-coding RNA (NTAB_LNC003922)
Source: RNAcentral